Molecule: non-coding RNA, 146 nt
Organism: Pseudonaja textilis
Lineage: Eukaryota; Metazoa; Chordata; Lepidosauria; Squamata; Elapidae
Source: RefSeq, a predicted model, not a curated record
CCACUCCUGACCAGGGGUGUUAAACUCAAGGCUCGUGGACUGGAUCCAGACCGUAGGUUGCUUAAAUCUGGCCAAUGGGGCCAGCCUAGAAAUAGCAACGGACUGGCCCGCGGUGCCUCUGGCAGCCAAAACGGGGCACGGGGGAG